This 253-nucleotide ribosomal RNA is filed under the name uncultured bacterium. RNAcentral's name for it is "partial 16S ribosomal RNA". It matches the Rfam family "Bacterial small subunit ribosomal RNA", at positions 524 to 776 of the family's 1533-position model. The record is from RNAcentral.
UACGUAGGCAGCGAGCGUUGUUCGGAAUUACUGGGCGUAAAGAGUGUGUAGGCGGUGCUCUAAGUUCGGUGUGAAAUCUCCCGGCUCAACUGGGAGGGUGGUCGCGAGACGGCAGGGCUUGAGGCUCGGUGAGGGGCGUGGAAUUCCGGGUGGAGCGGUGAAAUGCGUAGAGAUCCGGAGGAACACCGACGGCGUAGGCAGCGCCCUAGACGAGACCUGACGCUCAGGCACGAAAGCGCGGGGAGCGAACAGG